CACGCAGGCGGCUCGUUAAAUUAGAAGUGAAAGCCCUGGGCUCAACCCGGGAAUUGCUUUUAAGACUGGCGAGCUAGAAUUCGGAAGAGGGCAGUGGAAUUCCAAGUGUAGAGGUGAAAUUCGUAGAUAUUUGGAAGAACACCAGUGGCGAAGGCGACUGCCUGGUCCGAUAUUGACGCUCAUGUGCGAAAGCGUGGGGAGCAAACAGGAUUAGAUACCCUGGUAGUCCACGCCGUAAACUAUGAGUGCUAGUUGUUGGGGUACAUGUACCUCAGUGACGCAGCUAACGCAUUAAGCACUCCGCCUGGGGAGUACGGCCGCAAGGUUAAA
Molecule: ribosomal RNA, 330 nt
Filed under: uncultured bacterium
Lineage: Bacteria
Description: bacterial SSU rRNA
Rfam family: Bacterial small subunit ribosomal RNA
Source: RNAcentral